This 415-nucleotide ribosomal RNA is filed under the name uncultured crenarchaeote. Its description in RNAcentral is "partial 16S ribosomal RNA". It matches the Rfam family "Archaeal small subunit ribosomal RNA", at positions 330 to 747 of the family's 1478-position model. The record is from RNAcentral. Lineage: Archaea; Thermoproteati; Thermoproteota.
GCGCAGCAGGCGCGAAAAUUUUGCAAUGCGCGCAAGCGUGACAAAGUCAUCCCGAGUGCCACCCGCUGAGGGUGGCUUUUCCACAGUCUAAAAAGCUGUGGGAAUAAGGGGAGGGUAAGUCGGGUGUCAGCCGCCGCGGUAAUACCCGCUCCCCGAGUGGUAGGGAUGAUUAUUGGGCUUAAAGCGUCCGUAGCUGGCCUUUCAAGUCUCUUGUUAAAUCCAGCGAUUCAAUCGUUGGACUGCGGGAGAUACUGUUCGGCUAGGGGGUGAGAGAGGCCAACGGUAUUCCCGGGGUAGGGGUGAAAUCCUAUAAUCCCGGGAGGACCACCAGUGGCGAAGGCUGUUGGCUAGAACACGCCCGACGGUGAGGGAUGAAAGCUGGGGGAGCGAACCGGAUUAGAUACCCGGGUAGUCC